AACGCACAUUGCACCUUCUGGUAUUCUGGGAGGUAUGCCUGUUCGAGCGUCAUUGCAACCAUCAAGUCUAGGCUUGGUAUUGGAUGCCACCUCUUGGUGCAUCUCAAAAUUAGUGGCGGUGACAUUCAACUUCAAGCGUAGUAAAUUUCUCGCUUCUGGAGUUUGUGUUUGCCUGCUGGAACCCUUAAUUUAUCAAGGUUUGACCUCGGAUCAGGUAGGGAUACCCGCUGAACUUAA
Molecule: unclassified non-coding RNA, 237 nt
Filed under: uncultured fungus
Lineage: Eukaryota; Fungi
Description: sequence contains ITS2
Source: RNAcentral